CCUACGGGUGGCAGCAGUGAGGAAUAUUGGUCAAUGGUCGCGAGCCUGAACCAGCCAAGUAGCGUGAAGGAUGACUGCCCUACGGUUUGUAAACUUCUUUUAUGUGGGAAUAAAAUGUUCCACGUGUGGGAUUUUGUAUGUACCAUAUGAAUAAGGAUCGGCUAACUCCGUUCCAGCAGCCGCGGUAAUACGGAGGAUCCGAGCGUUAUCCGGAUUGAUUGGGUUUAAAGGGAGCGUAGGUGGAUUGUUAAGUCAGUCGUGAAAUGUCGUGGCUCAACCGUAAUAUUGCAGCUGAAACGGGCAGUCGUGAGUACAGGAGAGGUAGGCGGAAUUCGUGGUGUAGCGGUGAAAUGCUUAGAUAUCACGAAGAACUCCGAUUGCGAAGGCAGCUCACUGGACUGCAACUGACACUGAGGCUCGAAAGCGUGGGUAUCAAACAGGAUUAGAUACCCCUGUAGUC
This 460-nucleotide ribosomal RNA is filed under the name uncultured bacterium. RNAcentral's name for it is "partial 16S ribosomal RNA". It matches the Rfam family "Bacterial small subunit ribosomal RNA", at positions 338 to 795 of the family's 1533-position model. The record is from RNAcentral.